CCGCCGUUCCUCAGCAGCAAUUCAGUGGUUUCAGCCCUUCACCUCAGGGGGUGUACAAUGCCUUGAGUCCUUCUGAUCUCAGUGCAGCUUUCAACAAUAUGCAGAUGAACCAGCCUUCUUCCUCUUGGGCUUCGGAUGUCUUCGACUCCGGGGCUGAGUCUCACGUCACACAUGAACAAGGAUCUUAAAACUAAGAAGCUGCUGUCCCGUCACAACAGCACUGGAAAUCU
This 230-nucleotide long non-coding RNA is filed under the name Helianthus annuus (common sunflower). RNAcentral describes it as "hypothetical non coding rna". Lineage: Eukaryota; Viridiplantae; Streptophyta; Magnoliopsida; Asterales; Asteraceae. The record is from RNAcentral.